This 253-nucleotide ribosomal RNA is filed under the name uncultured bacterium. RNAcentral describes it as "partial 16S ribosomal RNA". It matches the Rfam family "Bacterial small subunit ribosomal RNA", at positions 524 to 776 of the family's 1533-position model. The record is from RNAcentral.
UACGUAGGUGGCAAGCGUUGUCCGGAUUUACUGGGCGUAAAGAGCGCGCAGGCGGUCGUUCAAGUCGCGUGUGAAAGCCCCCGGCUCAACUGGGGAGGGUCACGCGAUACUGAUCGACUCGAAGGCAGGAGAGGGUAGUGGAAUUCCCGGUGUAGCAGUGAAAUGCGUAGAUAUCGUAAGGAAGACCAGUGGCGAAGGCGAGUUUCUGGACAGUUACUGACGCUGAGGCACGAAGGCCAGGGGAGCAAACGGG